Molecule: long non-coding RNA, 485 nt
Filed under: Fukomys damarensis (Damara mole-rat)
Lineage: Eukaryota; Metazoa; Chordata; Mammalia; Rodentia; Bathyergidae
Description: lncRNA (ENSFDAG00000023939.1)
Source: RNAcentral
AGUUUUAAGUUAACUUCUGUUCUCAGAUAUGAAAUGUGUUCUCUUCACAGUCCUCAGAUUCUCAGCUGUUGACUGCAGAGGAGAGGAACCAAAUUCUACUUGACCUUAAGAAAGCAGGAUGGUCAGAAUUAAGUGAGAGAGAUGCCAUCUACAAAGAAUUCUCCUUCAAAAAUUUUAAUCAGUCAUCCACUGGACUUGGAAGCAAAUGUAUCCUUUUGUUUCUGAAGAUACCAGUUGAUGUUCCCAAGAAAACAGAAAUCAUGGAGUUGUUGGAAUGAGGCUCCCUUAUCAUGUAGCCAUCUUCAAAAUCCUGUGUUUUAGCUGGGAGCUCAUCUGUCUAGUGACCAAAGACAUAACCUUAGAAGGUUGGUUUUGAAAACAGAAAUAAAAGUUAUUUUAGAAGACCUGCUUAUUUUUAGAGAGAAACAUUUAUUUCCCCACAACCCAGAAGAGAGUUAAAUCCUAAAAUAAUUAUUGAAGCACCC